GCAUCCGGAAGGAAAGGCGAGGCUCUGCAUCUAGAUUUACUUCGUUCUCUUUCGUCUCCGCUUUUUUCCCCACAUUUCCUUGCGCCCCUGGCCCUUGGGCGACAAAAAGGGGAAGCCAGGGCUGGCCUGAGGAACGGAGAGGGCACAUGGCCUAACCACGAGUGGAGCUUCUGCUCCGCCCGAAGGGAUGCGCUGGAGCGGCCUCUUCCUUCCGUCACGGUCUUUCUUUGCCAACUAAGAUGGGGUUUUACCAGGUUAGCCAGGCUGGUCUUGAACUCCUGACCUCAAGGGAUCCGCCUGCCUCAGCUUUCCAAAGUGCUGGGAUUACAGGUGGAGACUGGACCUCAGAGAGGGAGUGGGUGCCCUGAGAACUCACAGCUGGCGGACAGCGGAAAGGGCAGAACCCGGACCAAGGUGAGGACAGCGGAACUGAAGUUCUGCUGGUUACCUCUCCUGCCCUCCGCUGGCCGCACUGGAGAAGACAGCCCCUCCCUCCUGCUCUGACCUGACAGUGUUCAUCCAUCGCCCUCUAUUAGGGAAGAACAACAUCAAGCUGGCUAGCAAGGAACUGUAUACAGGGUCCAGCUGGGUAUCACACUGGAUCUCACCCAAAGCUGAGAUGUGAUCCAGCUCAGUAUCACAAAGCAGAACGAAAAGGAUGUGUUCGGGCUGAGAGGCAAUACAUUGGCUCCGGCAGGACGGGUGACUUCUUCCGAGUCUGGCUUCUGCAGCACACAGGGCUUCGCCAGCACCCAGCUCCUGCAGCAUGGACAGCCCGUGUGACAGCAGGCGCCCACAGCCUGCAAAGCUUCUCCAGUGCCGCCUCCUCAGUGAACCGCAAGCAGCGGCACCUAGCAGCUUUCUCCACCACGCUCUUCAGGUAGUUCUGUAGCAGUGCGUUUCUCAUGAGACACUUCCCUGUGAGCAGUUUUUUCUACCCUUGAGGAUGGAUUUCCAGCAAGUUCUGCCCAUGUGGUACCACAGCCACUUCUCUGCCAUUCAGUGAAACUGCAGAUGUGCCCUCUUCACGGUCUGGAUCUAAGCCCAGGGACCAGGAAACCUCUUGCUUGAGUGCUGGAACUCAGGUCAGAAGGACAUCCCUGUAGAAGUUCUGCUGCGUGUGGUCCAGCCGUCCCCACUCCUCCCGGGAGAGGUACAAGGCCACAUCCUCGAAAGUCACUGGCAUCUGAAACAAUGUGAAACAUCCACUCUCCAGGACAUGACGUGGACACGGUGGAGGGACACCAUGGCAUGAGAUGUGUGGUGAGAUCCCGGACUCCCAACCCACUGUCUCGAGUGAGGCCUGCCACUUCCAUCUGAUGGGGAAGUGGGUGAGCCACCCAAGGCCUUCUGGGGAGUUGAGAAAGAACAAAGACCAAGAGGUAUCUUCAGGGACCACAGUUAAGACUUAGGAUGUCCAUGCAGCCCCCAUCCUCAGCUGAGACCUCGGAGGACGGUUCCCAGCGGCUCCCAAUGAGAGGCCCUGUGUCUCUAAUUCCUGCUGCUUCUCCUCCAGCUUUGGCCCAGGCCUGACCAUGGGCCUUGAGCCUGGACAAUUCCAGCAACACUAGCAAGAGCCCCAGGCUUCAGGCUUGGCUGCAAGUGGGGCCAGCGGGGUCCUGGCUUUCACACAGAACCAGCAGAUGCAAGAAGGGCUGAGUACCAUGCAGGGGCCGGGGAAGGGCCACUCACCUGGGACCAGGCAGUGAGGAGCGCUGCGGCCAUCUGCCGGUCUCUGGUCCUCCCCUCUCGGGAAAGCACCGGGAUCCGGGGGGAGGGGAGGGCUGUGGGAGGAGAGAGGUCCUCAGGUUGACCAGCUCAUCCUGCUGGACCUGCUGCUACUCCAGCUGCCUCAAACUCCACCCCUGGCCCGACCCAAGGACAGGGUUGGAUGGCUUUGAGGCUGCCAGGGGGCUGUGGGCCACGGGGGGACAGCGUCCCCUGCUGGCAUAGAGACCCUCAGCCCCACCUGGACCUGGGCCAAGCCUCCACCUCCCCACAGCUGCCUCCCUGGGAAAGCACCUCUUCCCCGUCCCUCUCCUACCUCCACCAGGCAGGAAGAGAGCUUUCUCCUUAGAGCCGUGACUUAGGGAUGCCCAGCCCCAUGCACCUUGAGCCCCAUCCUCCUGCGAUGCCCCCUCGGGGUGUGGCUCUUCUGGCUCCAUCUUAAUGUGCAAUGACUCCUGAAUGUCCCCUGAAGGUACCGCCUCCCCCAGCUUAGAAGGCAUUUCCUGAUGAGGAUGUCCACGAUCUGGAACCUAGAAAGGACAGCCCCAUCAGCACCUGGAUGAGUGGGAGAGACAGCCAGAGCUGCAUGCCGGGGCGCUCCGGCAGGGUCGGACACCAACAUGCAAGACACAGCUUGAAGGACUGUCCUUGCUGCCUUUAUCCAGCUCACCCCAGCAAGGACGGGUGGCAAGAGGAGGAAUAUUCACCAAGCCACUUCCACGGUGCCGGUGGGUAUGGUCCCCAAGGGCAGCUACCCCUUCUCAGCUCCAGCCUCACACUGACCUCAGCAGUGUAGACUGCUGUCUAUUAGUGUAUGAGGAAACCAAGUAUACUGGCUUGAAUAGUGUCCUCUAAGAAUCCAUGUCCUCCCUGAACCUCAGAAUGGGACCUUAUUGGGGAAAAGGGUCUUUAUACAGGUAAGUUAAAGAUCUUGAGAUUAAAUCAUCAUGGAUUUAGAGUGAGCCUAAAAUCUAAUAACGACUUAUGUCCUUACAAGAAUAGGAGAGGGCACAGAGACACAGAGAAGGAAGCAGAGACUGGAGGGAUGCCCACACCAAGGACACCAGGAGCCCCCAGGAGCUGGAAGAGACGGAGUUUCGCUCUUCUUGCCCAGGCUGGAGUGCAAUGGCGCAAUCUCAGCUCACCCCAACCUCCGCCUCCUGGGUUCAAGCGAUUCUCCUGCCUCAGCCUCCUGAUUACCUGGGGUUACAGGCAUGCACCACCACACCUGGCUAAUUUUGUGUUUUUAGUAGAGAUGGGGUUUCUCCAUGUUGGUCAGGCUGGUCUCGAACUCCUGACCUCAGGUGAUCCACCCACCUCAGCCUCCUAAAAUGCUGGGAUUACAGGUGUGAGCCACCAUGCCCGGCCUAUAAAAUUGAUUCUUUAAAAAAAAUUAGAACAUUUACCGAUGCUGGACCCACCUUCCCCACCUUCAGGGUCCACUUUCUAGGUGGCCACAGUGCCUGCUUGGCCCCUGUAGCAUUUGAGUUUGCAACUCUGCUUUUGGAGUUAAACAUGUUUUAGGAGUCCUGGGAUUCUGAUUGAUGCUAUUGUCAAUUUGAUGAAAGAAAAAUUACUCCUGGGA
Molecule: non-coding RNA, 3313 nt
Filed under: Pongo abelii (Sumatran orangutan)
Lineage: Eukaryota; Metazoa; Chordata; Mammalia; Primates; Hominidae
Source: RNAcentral